CACACUCCAGCUUUCAAAAAUUUAGACAUUAAUUGACAGUUGAAAUUAAAAUUGAAAAUGUAUCCAACAAAAGUUGGCCUUAAAUUUACAAAAUAAAUAUUUAAAGACACUUCCUUGACGUUCUACGGCGAAUGGCAAUUACUUAAGCAAACAUUGUUUUAACAUUUCCCGUAAAUAAUCUGAUGCCUUUCCACAAAUGAGGCGCUAAAUUCGGCUAAUUUGUGAAGCUAAGCAACCGCGCGACAUGCAAACAGCAUUUAAAACUUGUCUUGUAUGCCAUUAAAAAGAAGAAGAA
Molecule: small RNA, 295 nt
Filed under: Drosophila mojavensis
Lineage: Eukaryota; Metazoa; Arthropoda; Insecta; Diptera; Drosophilidae
Description: GI26875
Source: RNAcentral